This 22-nucleotide small RNA is filed under the name Arabidopsis thaliana (thale cress). RNAcentral describes it as "ATSL242830". Lineage: Eukaryota; Viridiplantae; Streptophyta; Magnoliopsida; Brassicales; Brassicaceae. The record is from RNAcentral.
GUUUUUGAUUUUUCUUCUUCUU